AUUGAACGCUGGCGGCAUGCUUUACACAUGCAAGUCGAACGGCAGCGCGGGCUUCGGCCUGGCGGCGAGUGGCGAACGGGUGAGUAAUGCAUCGGAACGUGCCCAGUAGUGGGGGAUAGCCCAGCGAAAGCCGGAUUAAUACCGCAUACGACCUGAGGGUGAAAGCGGGGGACCGAAAGGCCUCGCGCUAUUGGAGCGGCCGAUGUCGGAUUAGCUAGUUGGUGGGGUAAAGGCUUACCAAGGCGACGAUCCGUAGCUGGUCUGAGAGGACGACCAGCCACACUGGGACUGAGACACGGCCCAGACUCCUACGGGAGGCAGCAGUGGGGAAUUUUGGACAAUGGGGGCAACCCUGAUCCAGCCAUGCCGCGUGCGGGAAGAAGGCCUUCGGGUUGUAAACCGCUUUUGUUCGGGAAGAAAUCCUCUGGGCUAAUACCCCGGGAGGAUGACGGUACCGGAAGAAUAAGCACCGGCUAACUACGUG
Molecule: ribosomal RNA, 484 nt
Filed under: uncultured bacterium
Lineage: Bacteria
Description: partial 16S ribosomal RNA
Rfam family: Bacterial small subunit ribosomal RNA
Source: RNAcentral